UGAGGAACAUGACCUUCGGCGGGGGAUAGCCGGCCCAACGGCCGGGUAAUACCGCGUACGACCACAUGGGGACAUCCCUGAGUGGUGAAAGCAGCAAUGCGCCGAUGGAGUGCCUCGCGGCCCAUCAGCUAGUUGGUGAGGUAACGGCUCACCAAGGCGACGACGGGUAGCUGGUCUGAGAGGAUGGCCAGCCACAUUGGGACUGAGACACGGCCCAGACCUCUACGGGGAGG
RNAcentral lists this ribosomal RNA (233 nucleotides) under uncultured bacterium. RNAcentral's name for it is "partial 16S ribosomal RNA". It matches the Rfam family "Bacterial small subunit ribosomal RNA", at positions 118 to 348 of the family's 1533-position model. The record is from RNAcentral.